Ornithorhynchus anatinus (platypus) is the source of this 406-nucleotide long non-coding RNA. RefSeq lists it as uncharacterized. NCBI's taxonomy places the organism in Eukaryota, Metazoa, Chordata, Mammalia, Monotremata, Ornithorhynchidae. The transcript is spliced from 4 exons. The record is from RefSeq and is a predicted model, not a curated record.
UCCGACAAAGACGGAGGCGGCACCUGCGUCUAAAAGGCGGCGGUGACGUCACCUUUCCGCUGAUUGGAGGAAGCCAGGUGGCCCUCCUUGUCCAGGGUGGCACCAACCCGCUCUGAAGCUGUUGUGGGCCCGAUCAUUUUUCUCACGGCGGCUGUGUUAGGACUGGCCAGUUGGGGGAUCAGACGUGGAACGUGGGGUUGCAGUUGUCAGAACGACCCUCCAGGACAACUCUUGAGUAUCGUCCAUCCUCUCAGCGGGCCCCCUGCCAAGAGCCUGUCCCAUUGACUGGUUGUGGAGCCGAGAGAAAUGCUACUGGUUUUCCAAGGAGUUCGCUUCCUGGGACAGUAGCCUGGAUGACUGUUUGGCCCGGAAGUCAGGCCGCCUGCUGGUGAUCCAAGACACGAAG